Molecule: long non-coding RNA, 532 nt
Filed under: Homo sapiens (human)
Lineage: Eukaryota; Metazoa; Chordata; Mammalia; Primates; Hominidae
Description: long non-coding RNA NONHSAT149483.1
Source: RNAcentral
CUUGCUCAUCCUUAUGGUUUUACACGAGUAAUGUCAAGCUACCGUUGGCCAAGACAGUUUCAAAAUGGAAACGAUGUUAAUGAUUGGGUUGGGCCACCAAAUAAUAAUGGAGUAAUUAAAGAAGUUACUAUUAAUCCAGACACUACUUGUGGCAAUGACUGGGUCUGUGAACAUCGAUGGCGCCAAAUAAGGAACAUGGUUAAUUUCCGCAAUGUAGUGGAUGGCCAGCCUUUUACAAACUGGUAUGAUAAUGGGAGCAACCAAGUGGCUUUUGGGAGAGGAAACAGAGGAUUCAUUGUUUUCAACAAUGAUGACUGGACAUUUUCUUUAACUUUGCAAACUGGUCUUCCUGCUGGCACAUACUGUGAUGUCAUUUCUGGAGAUAAAAUUAAUGGCAAUUGCACAGGCAUUAAAAUCUACGUUUCUGACGAUGGCAAAGCUCAUUUUUCUAUUAGUAACUCUGCUGAGGAUCCAUUUAUUGCAAUUCAUGCUGAAUCUAAAUUAUAAAAUUUAAAAUUAAAUGCAUAUCCUC